AAGUCGUAACAAGGUCCGUACGUGAACCUGCGGAAGGAUCAUUAACACGUAUCCAAACGUUAAAACCCCCCCGUGAACAUUCAUCCUCACCCGCGAAGCUUGCAAUCUCUGGUAAAUCAUAGCCCGGAAAGUAGUUUUGAUUCAGAGACCUCUGGCCCGUGAGAAUAUUGGUACAGUUACAAUUUUGAGCGGUAGUUCUUUCGGCCUUGUUUCCCCAAGCAGUCAGUGUCUGAAAGUGCCAAUGAUUGUGCAAGGAUAACCGCAUCUCGCGGGCAGGAGCUAGCCCAAAGGGUCCCAUGCCCCCUUAUAACCCCACAGUUUGAUGUGAAGCUCAAUGUAAUACAUUGGGUAAAAAAACCGAACAACUGUUAACAAUGGAUAUCUUGGUUCUC
This 392-nucleotide unclassified non-coding RNA is filed under the name fungal sp. RNAcentral's name for it is "partial internal transcribed spacer region". Lineage: Eukaryota; Fungi. The record is from RNAcentral.